RNAcentral lists this ribosomal RNA (593 nucleotides) under Dothideomycetes sp. Its description in RNAcentral is "partial large subunit ribosomal RNA". It matches the Rfam family "Eukaryotic large subunit ribosomal RNA", at positions 51 to 667 of the family's 3401-position model. Lineage: Eukaryota; Fungi; Ascomycota; Dothideomycetes. The record is from RNAcentral.
UCCGGGAAAAGACAACAGGGAUGCCUUAGUAACGGCGAGUGAAGCGGCAACAGCUCAGAUUUGAAAUCUGGCCCUUUCAGGGUCCGAGUUGUAAUCUGUAGAAGAUGCCUCGGCGUCGCCCCGGUCUAAGUUCCUUGGAACAGGCCGUCACAGAGGGUGAGAAUCCCGUACGUGACCGGUGGCUCAUCCGUGUGAGGCUCCUUCAACGAAUCGAGUUGUUUGGCUGGCAGCUCUAAAUGGGAGGUUCUUUCUUCUAAAGCUAAAUAUUGGCCAGAGACCGAUAGCGCACAAGUAGAGUGAUCGAAAGAUGAAAAGCACUUUGGAAAUAGAGUUAAAAAGCACGUGAAAUUGUUGAAAGGGAAGCGCUUGCAACCAGACUUGCCCGCAAUUGCUCAACCGGUCUCCCGGCCGGUGUACUCUUCUGCGGUCAGGCCAGCAUCAUUUCGGGCGGUCGGAUAAAGGCCCCGGGAAUGUGGCCUCCUUCGGGGGGUGUUAUAGCCCGGGGCGGAAUGCGGCCUGCCUGGACUGAGGUCCGCGCUUCGGCUAGGAUGCUGGCGUAAUGGUUGUAAGCGGCCCGUCUUGAAAAACGGACC